RNAcentral lists this ribosomal RNA (987 nucleotides) under Salmonella enterica subsp. enterica serovar Typhimurium. RNAcentral's name for it is "partial 23S ribosomal RNA". It matches the Rfam family "Bacterial large subunit ribosomal RNA", at positions 163 to 1190 of the family's 2925-position model. Lineage: Bacteria; Pseudomonadati; Pseudomonadota; Gammaproteobacteria; Enterobacterales; Enterobacteriaceae. The record is from RNAcentral.
UCCAUAGGUUAAUGAGGCGAACCGGGGGAACUGAAACAUCUAAGUACCCCGAGGAAAAGAAAUCAACCGAGAUUCCCCCAGUAGCGGCGAGCGAACGGGGAGGAGCCCAGAGCCUGAAUCAGCAUGUGUGUUAGUGGAAGCGUCUGGAAAGGCGCGCGAUACAGGGUGACAGCCCCGUACACAAAAGCGCAUGUGCUGUGAGCUCGAUGAGUAGGGCGGGACACGUGGUAUCCUGUCUGAAUAUGGGGGGACCAUCCUCCAAGGCUAAAUACUCCUGACUGACCGAUAGUGAACCAGUACCGUGAGGGAAAGGCGAAAAGAACCCCGGCGAGGGGAGUGAAAAAGAACCUGAAACCGUGUACGUACAAGCAGUGGGAGCACCCUUCGGGGUGUGACUGCGUACCUUUUGUAUAAUGGGUCAGCGACUUAUAUUCUGUAGCAAGGUUAACCGUAUAGGGGAGCCGGAGGGAAACCGAGUCUUAACCGGGCGUUAAGUUGCAGGGUAUAGACCCGAAACCCGGUGAUCUAGCCAUGGGCAGGUUGAAGGUUGGGUAACACUAACUGGAGGACCGAACCGACUAAUGUUGAAAAAUUAGCGGAUGACCUGUGGCUGGGGGUGAAAGGCCAAUCAAACCGGGAGAUAGCUGGUUCUCCCCGAAAGCUAUUUAGGUAGCGCCUCGUGAAUUCAUCUCCGGGGGUAGAGCACUGUUUCGGCUAGGGGGCCAUCCCGGCUUACCAACCCGAUGCAAACUGCGAAUACCGGAGAAUGUUAUCACGGGAGACACACGGCGGGUGCUAACGUCCGUCGUGAAGAGGGAAACAACCCAGACCGCCAGCUAAGGUCCCAAAGUCAUGGUUAAGUGGGAAACGAUGUGGGAAGGCCCAGACAGCCAGGAUGUUGGCUUAGAAGCAGCCAUCAUUUAAAGAAAGCGUAAUAGCUCACUGGUCGAGUCGGCCUGCGCGGAAGAUGUAACGGGGCUAAACCAU